Gallus gallus (chicken) is the source of this 5801-nucleotide long non-coding RNA. Lineage: Eukaryota; Metazoa; Chordata; Aves; Galliformes; Phasianidae. The record is from Ensembl.
GGCCAAGAUAUUUAGAAGGAAAAAAAAUCAUGCAGACCCUGCAAAUUUAGCAGCAGAGACUUGAUCUUUGAUGACGAGCUUGUAGAUGCUUUUGACAACAAUGUCUUCUCCAAAGCAUACUCCUGUCAUGAAAUACAGUGUCUUCACCAGUUUCAAGAAGAUAGGAACCAAAAAUAGUCCGUAUUGGAGUGGAUGACCUCCAAGUACCGCUGGAUUUGUGAGACAGAAAGUAGAUGGCAUUACUGCUGAUGCGAAAGAGAAGUCUAAUUUGUAGCCCAGCAGGAUCCCAAAAUAUGUUCAAAAUAUUAUUUAUGACUGAAAAUUAAAAAUUAAGAGUAAAGGCAGAUUUUACUGUUUACUUAGCCAAGUCAUAAAAUAUACAAGCACAGCAAAUAUAAACAACAGCAAAACAAACUGAGCUAAGGCAUGCUUACAGCUAGCCUAAUCAUCUUAAAACUCCAAAUAUUAUCUCAUGACAGAUGGCUGCUGGAGUCUACAAAGGGCUACUCCAAAUUCUCUUCCCCAUUCCAUAAAGACCACCCCUAUUGAGGACAUUUCCAUCCAAAUGCAUUAUUAUAUAUCCUGUCUUGAAACAGAAGAUUUCAUUUCCUUGCCGCUAUUUGGUGAGUCUUGUGCUGGAAAAGGGCCUAUCACCUACCUUCCUCUGGACCAGCUUUUGCAGAUGAAUUACUCUCUACCAUGGUCUUAGAAGGAGCAGUCAAGAAUGCCUCCCUUCCUUACCAUGCUGGCCUGGGCUGUUCAUGCCAGACUGCUUGCUCUGCUCUGUGAUCUGCAGAGGACUUUCAAGCACAACCUGGAGACAGAGAGCGGGCAGGGGGCCACAGAGCUCAGCUGCAGCUGAGAAGGGGUUUUCCCUCCUGGUCCUCUGCCAGUGCCAAGGAAGCCAAGAGAAGAUGAGACCAUGCUUCUGCAAAUGCAAAUAAAGAGACCUGCAGGGCUCAGGGCAUUCAGCACUGAGUGGAAGUGUGCAGCCAGCAUUUCCCAGCCUUCUGAAGUCCUCCAUAGGAAACCUCCAGUCUUCCUCCAUGCGCUGGAGAUAGAUGCUGCUAAUUCAGUUUGGUGAGAACGACCAAUACAACUGCUCCCACUUGCUCCGGUGUCACAUCAAUCUAUAAGAAGCCAAAAGGAUGUCUGCAACCAGCAAGCCAGAAAGAAAGCUGUAUUGUUUUUCACAAUGAAUGGCAUUAACUCCUUUUCUUCCAUACAAAUAUACUCUGAAUACUUUGCUUGUUGCCUAAAUUCUUGAUCAUAGAAUCACCGAAUCAUUUGAAAUGGAAAGGACCCUUACAGGUCAUCGAGUCCAGCUCCCCUGCAAUGAACAGCAUUCAUCUGCAGUGAAUAGGGAUGUUGAUGUCGAAGAGUGGAACAGCUGAAAACUUUCUAAAUGUCUAUUCACUUUGUCUGUAGAUCUUUUAACCUUAAAUAAUUACAUAGGUCAUAUUACGUAAAUAGUAUAAGAUAAUAUUAGAAAUAAAUUAAGAUCACAGUAUAGAUAGCAUAGCAGAAUACAAAUGCAAAUUACAGAUUUCUCCAUUAUUGAAAUAUACCAAGUAAGAUGAUCAGAAAACAUUUAAGAUUCAGAAGUUGAAAUAAGCAAUAAUAAGUUGAACAAUCAAUCUGAUCAAACACAAUCAAAAGCUAUACGCUCUGUGAUCUCAGGUAGAAGAAUUUUGUAUUAGAAAUUAGAAAUAAAUACAUCUGCUUUAUGGAGAUAAAGGUAAUACAGCAUUAGAUUUUUCUGUAUACAGGGAAUAUAAAUUUUUAUCUUUGGUGAACUAAUAAAAGAAGAGUUGAACUCAUUGCUACUGUUUAAUUUUGCUUCUGUACAUAAGGGACCUUCAGCAGUUACCCAGAGAGAACCGUGAGGUGGAUUGAGAACUGUUUGGCUGGUAGAGCUCAGAGGGUUGUCAUCAGUGUGGCAGUCUGGCUGGAGGCCUGUAACUAGUGGUCUUCCUCAGGGGUUGGUAUGGGAUCUGGUCUUGUUCAACGUCUUCAUCUUCAUUCAUGACCUGAAUGAAGGGAGAGAGUCCACCCUCAGCAAGUUUGCUGAUGAUACAAAGCUGGGAAUAGCGACUGACAUGGGGACCUUAUCAAUGCUAAUAAAUAUCUAAAGGGUAGGACUCAAGUGGAUUGGUCCGAGUUCUUUUCAGUGGUACCCAGCAACACUACAAGGGGCAAUGGGCACAAACUGGAACACAGGAGGUUCCAUACAAACACAAGGAAAAAGUUCUUUAUUGUGCAGGUUACAGCACUGGAACAGGCUGCCAAGAGAGGCUGUGAAGUCUUCUCUGAGGUAUUCAAGACCCAGCUGGAUGUUUUCCUGGGCAACCUACUGUAGGGAACCUGCUUGGACUAGAGGAUCUCCAGAGGUCCCAUACAACCCCUACAAUUCUGUGAUUCUGUGAAAACAGAGAUCUUUGCAUUUUGUGAGCCAAAAAAAGGAACUGAAGACCACAAUUGCUCAUCAGAGGAACCACAUACAUGCCAGAUGUGCUUUUACCCCACUGUGAUUGUGAACUAAAAUGUUUGUUUAAAGACUAUAUUUUUAUAGAUAUUAUUGUGCUCAGAGGCAAAUGUAGCCAUGGUAAAUGUACAUUCCCAGCAUAACCCUCUCCAUGAGGGGCCAGGUAAAAAUUCAUAGAUGCAUUUAAAUGGGUUGUAUUGGGAUCACUCAGUCGUCAUCAGAGAAAGAUGAAGGAAUCUCCAAGGACACUUCUUUCCCUACCUUUCAGGAUGGAAUUAAACAACUUUCUGACAUAUCUAUUUCCCUAUAGGGAGCAUGUAGCUGUGGAUGUCAGACAUACACCACUUAGUCAGCUGAAGUAGAAAGAAUUCCACCCUAAAACAUUAAAGCAAUGAAUCCCUUUUUCUAUAAAUUACAACAAAGUAAAAUUAUGUCUAGCCUCUGUCUUUGUUAAGAGCUUGACAUACAGCAGCACUUAGGAAACUGAUUAUACUGACAGGCUAAUCAAGCAGAGUUUGUUAACUAAAUUUAUGGUAACUAUAUCACAUCUCAAGUAUUACAAAUAUGAAAAAGAGUGUGCCUUAAUCUUCUAUGUAAACAUAGUUUUCUUUUGGGCUCUUCUGAUGCCCUAAUGUUUAUAGAACCAUGUAAUAAAUCAGGACUUAUUUAUCAUAACGAACAGUAGUUCACACAGUGGUUAAAAUCGCUGUUUUCAUUAACUAUGUCAAAGAUCAAAAUAUUAUAAAGGAAGCAUUCAGAUGCAAUGACAAGAGGCGCAGUAUAUGAUCUGAAAUGAACAUGUGUUGUCAUGCACUGAUGUCUUGAACCAUAAUUACACUUCUGGGGAGCUGUCAAUACACAAGCAGAGUUUAUCACCUUCAGUAACAAUUGUGAGCUGGAACAGCUUUAACAGCAUCACAGCAUGGCUGAGGUUGGCAGGGACCCUUGGGUCCAUCUGCUCCAACCCCUGCUCUGGCAGGAAAACCCCAAGCAGGGUGCCCAGCACCACAUCCAGAUGGCUUUCCUUGAAAGCAGAACUGUCUGAAUGCACUCAGUCCCUGAAGCUGGGCUGUAUCAGAACACAACGCAUUAAACCAGCAAAAGAAGUUAAAUGGUAAAAAAGUUCAAAAUCAGUCUUACCUGAAACCCAUCAUAUCCUAAGGAGGCAAGUUCUUUUCUCCCAUCCAGCCCUUUAACUUCAGCUUUUCCCUGAAUCAACAGGUUAUGUGCCUAGACCCAACCACCUCUACCUGUUAGCCCCUGCCUUUCUCUGCUUCAUUUCUCAUGGAUGCCUUAGAUGUCAUUUCUUGCUAUGCACCAGCUACUGUCUGUCUCUCCAAAGUGCUUCUGUCUGUAGGUUGAUCAAGUACUGAGAGCUACUGUGCUCUACAGUGACAGUUCGCUGCAAGGACUGAUUAGAAAUUCAAAAAGGCAAUAAAAGCACAGUGAUUUUGAUGAAAUUCUAAUAAGAGCAUGCAUUUCUGCUUGUUUUGACUAUGCUCCGUUCUCAUCUUUAAGGAUAUUUGAAUAGCUACAGAAGUUGAUACACUUUUCACCGGUGUACGGUUGCAUUAAUCACGCUUUUGCCAUCCAGCUACUCUGUGGUCUUGUGCAAUUCAUUUCACACUCUGAACUUGUUCCCAACCUUUUCUUUCUUUCUUAUUUUUUCUGCUUAUACAGCGAUCUGGCGUUUGAUAUAUGUUUGAGAAAUGCCUGGUACAUUUUGGUCUUGAUAUUGGAUGGGUCUCCUACGAACUGCUGGAAUAUUGUCACUGUCAUCCUCAGCCAUGCUGGGUGGUUUUUGAUCCAUUGUCCCACAGUAUGUCUGAAGGUCAACGUGAACUCUGAAAGGAGUCAGACACAGCACUGACAUAUAUGAACAAUAGUUGCUCUGAAAUCUCUGGGAGUUUUGUGUACAUCUGAGGGCAGAGUUCGGGCCAUAAAGUUUAAGUACAAGCAUCUGGGCACAAUUUUCUCCAGUGAGCAGGAUUCCAAGUUACUGUAACAUCUGCUGUGGGAACUAUAAGUACUUUAUAUUAAUGUUUUACACUGUGUUAGCUAUAAUCACCUUUUUUUAUAGGAAAAAUUUAGUCAUCUCCACCUGGUGAUUCCACUGAUGUGGGCACCUGUCUGCUAGGAAUCGGGCUGAGACCAUAAAUGCAUUUCACACAAGCAAUUGAAGGGCUAUGAGACAGUAAUCUCUUUAGGUUAUAAUUUUCAAGUAACCCAUGCACAGUUUGGUUUUUCUGGGGGGAGUAUUUUUUGUUGCUUAUUUGUUUGUUGGUUUUUUUGUGUGUUUGUGAUUGUUGUUGUUUUUUUCCAGCACAAGAUCAUUUUCAGAUAAGCUCCCAUUUCUCCAUGGGGAUUUGGUUAGCUCUUCAUACUUCAUACUUUGGCAAACUGUUUGGCAAAGAGAUGAGAUGACAAAUGCGCUCACACAUAGAAAAGGAGAGAAUCUUGAGCAGUGCUGUUUGUCCUUAGCCCCCACAGAAAGCAGAGCAAUACUCCAAAACCUAUUAUUUUCUUUGAAUUGAUCUCUUACUUAUAUAUGUGAGUAUAUAACUAGUAAAGAUGUUUUCCAAUAACAUCAGUAGUGUUUUAUCUGUUUUUCUGUGCUCACUGUCAAUCUCAUUUAUGUAUAUGGCCCUGAUUAAGGAGCUCCUGACUACCUUUUGAACGGAAAGCUAAUUUUUCUCCUAUAUCCAAUCAAGAGAAUAGAGAAAAGAAGCAAACAGCCCAUGCUCAGAUGUAUGCUGCCAUUUAUAGACUGCUGUUGGUAUUUCACUUAGAUGAAAAGAAACUGGAAUUAUGCACUGUUACCUGCAGUUUUACUGCAGUUGUGAAAUAUCAUUAUAAUAAAAUAUAGGCUUUAUUUGAAUUAUAGAUGGAGAUAUAUGCAGUUAGUUAUAUAUUUUAACGGGAUAUAUUUUAGCUGGACAUAUUUUACAUAAAAAUAAGUCUUCUGAGAAUCUUCUUAUUGGUGGAGGAAUAUUUCACCUCUACUGCUUCGAUGCUCAUUUUAGUUUGAAAACUACCAUAAAGGCAUAAUAUUCAGUUGGAUUUUUUAUCUAGUUCUUACUGUCUGGCCUGUGGAAAAUGAGUGAAAGAGAAGUAAAGUUUAUCUUUUCUUGUAUUUUUAUUUAUUUAUUUAUUUAUUUAUUGUGAUACAGUGUUAAUAACCAGCACAUCAUUCCCUAUUAGCAGUAAAAAUAUGUUUAUGAAAACUGAUGAGGAUUCACUCCAUUCAGUACAAAAGUAAAUCAGGCACCAGGUUAGUCAAUGCAAAGUGCUACAGCAUCUUGAUACAGUACCAGUG